UGGGGAAUAUUGGACAAUGGGCGAAAGCCUGAUCCAGCAAUGCCGCGUGAGUGAUGAAGGCCCUAGGGUUGUAAAGCUCUUUUACCCGGGAAGAUAAUGACUGUACCGGGAGAAUAAGCCCCGGCUAACUCCGUGCCAGCAGCCGCGGUAAUACGGAGGGGGCUAGCGUUGUUCGGAAUUACUGGGCGUAAAGCGCGCGUAGGCGGCUUUGUAAGUUAGAGGUGAAAGCCCGGGGCUCAACCCCGGAAAUGCCUUUAAGACUGCAUCGCCUGAAUCCAGGAGAGGUGAGUGGAAUUCCGAGUGUAGAGGUGAAAUUCGUAGAUAUUCGGAAGAACACCAGUGGCGAAGGCGGCUCACUGGCCUGGUAUUGACGCUGAGGUGCGAAAGCGUGGGGAGCAAACA
RNAcentral lists this ribosomal RNA (402 nucleotides) under uncultured Sphingomonas sp. RNAcentral describes it as "bacterial SSU rRNA". It matches the Rfam family "Bacterial small subunit ribosomal RNA", at positions 355 to 774 of the family's 1533-position model. The record is from RNAcentral. Lineage: Bacteria; Pseudomonadati; Pseudomonadota; Alphaproteobacteria; Sphingomonadales; Sphingomonadaceae.